UGCAAGCAUAUUCAAUCAAGUCACAAUCUAUACAUCAAACUGUUGCUAAGUUUAACUUUCACUGUACAUCUAUACAACUUAGCAUAAUUAAUCAAAAACUUUCAGAAGUAGGUUAAAAGAUUUAAAAGACCCAAUUCACCCCCCCUCUUGGGUUGUAUCUACUGGGCAACAAGUGGUAUCAGAGCAGGUGCUCUAAGAUUAAUUAUUGAUCUCACGAUCAAGAGCCAAAGAUCAUGACAACUCAAAUAGAUAGUUUUCUAGGAGAAGGACAAUCAAUUGAUACACCUCCACUAUUUAAUGGCAUAAACUAUACACAUUGGAAAAUACGCAUGCNN
RNAcentral lists this long non-coding RNA (335 nucleotides) under Phoenix dactylifera (date palm). RNAcentral describes it as "long non-coding RNA (PDAC_LNC009973)". The record is from RNAcentral. Lineage: Eukaryota; Viridiplantae; Streptophyta; Magnoliopsida; Arecales; Arecaceae.